GAGUUUGAUCUUGGCUCAGAUUGAACGCUGGCGGCAGGCCUAACACAUGCAAGUCGAGCGGUAGAGAGAAGCUUGCUUCUCUUGAGAGCGGCGGACGGGUGAGUAAUGCCUAGGAAUCUGCCUGGUAGUGGGGGAUAACGCUCGGAAACGGACGCUAAUACCGCAUACGUCCUACGGGAGAAAGCAGGGGACCUUCGGGCCUUGCGCUAUCAGAUGAGCCUAGGUCGGAUUAGCUAGUUGGUGAGGUAAUGGCUCACCAAGGCGACGAUCCGUAACUGGUCUGAGAGGAUGAUCAGUCACACUGGAACUGAGACACGGUCCAGACUCCUACGGGAGGCAGCAGUGGGGAAUAUUGGACAAUGGGCGAAAGCCUGAUCCAGCCAUGCCGCGUGUGUGAAGAAGGUCUUCGGAUUGUAAAGCACUUUAAGUUGGGAGGAAGGGCAGUAAAUUAAUAACUUUGCUGUUUUGACGUUACCGACUAGAAUAAAGCACCGGCUAACUCUGUGCCAGCACG
Molecule: ribosomal RNA, 514 nt
Filed under: uncultured bacterium
Lineage: Bacteria
Description: bacterial SSU rRNA
Rfam family: Bacterial small subunit ribosomal RNA
Source: RNAcentral